This 67-nucleotide transfer RNA is filed under the name Marmota monax (woodchuck). Its description in RNAcentral is "tRNA.Ala". The record is from RNAcentral. Lineage: Eukaryota; Metazoa; Chordata; Mammalia; Rodentia; Sciuridae.
GGUUAUAGCUCCAUGGAAGAGUGCUUGCCUAGCAUGCUUGAGGCCCCGGGUUUGAUCCCCAGCACCA